RNAcentral lists this transfer RNA (110 nucleotides) under Aneides ferreus. RNAcentral describes it as "tRNA-His". The stretch from base 1 to 69 matches the Rfam family "tRNA". Rfam says of the family: Transfer RNA (tRNA) molecules are approximately 80 nucleotides in length. Their secondary structure includes four short double-helical elements and three loops (D, anti-codon, and T loops). Further hydrogen bonds mediate the characteristic L-shaped molecular structure. tRNAs have two regions of fundamental functional importance: the anti-codon, which is responsible for specific mRNA codon recognition, and the 3' end, to which the tRNAs corresponding amino acid is attached (by aminoacyl-tRNA synthetases). tRNAs cope with the degeneracy of the genetic code in two manners: having more than one tRNA (with a specific anti-codon) for a particular amino acid; and 'wobble' base-pairing, i.e. permitting non-standard base-pairing at the 3rd anti-codon position. Lineage: Eukaryota; Metazoa; Chordata; Amphibia; Caudata; Plethodontidae. The record is from RNAcentral.
GUACAUAUAAUUUAAAUAAAAUAUUAGACUGUGAUUCUAAUUAUGUAAGUUAAAAUCUUUCUAUAGACCGAGAAGAGUUAGAAACGCAGAAGCUGCUAAUUAUCUGCACC